Molecule: long non-coding RNA, 2267 nt
Organism: Ziziphus jujuba (common jujube)
Lineage: Eukaryota; Viridiplantae; Streptophyta; Magnoliopsida; Rosales; Rhamnaceae
Exons: 10
Source: RefSeq, a predicted model, not a curated record
CCUCCUCCUCAUCAAGCAACCUAUCCAACCUAAGUCAACCUGCUUAGAUUGGGUUAGGUCAGUUAGGUUAAUAGAUCCUUUUCGAGUGAUCCAUACUCUUCAGUUCCAUGUGUUGAGUUAUGACUACUUGAAUAUGCUCAAUAUUUGUGUGCUUCUUCUUGAAGUUGUGUUUUGAAAAUUUUCAAGUUUCAAAAAGUAAUUUGACAGAUCUACUUUUGCAAUGUUGUAUGGAUGAGGCUUCAGAUGUCCGACAGAGUGGAUUUGCCUUACUUGGUGACCUUGCUAGAAUUUGUCUUGUUCAUUUGGGACCUCGUUUGUCCUAAUUUCUUGAUAUUGCAGCCAGGCAAUUGGUAUGUAACACACUUUGCAUGGUUUUAAGUGGUGAUUUUGGAAGGUAGUAGUAGAUGCAUUCCGCAGGAUCCCCAGGGCCACUUGGAAUGCGAAAGAAAGUUUUGAAAAUGCAAGUUAUGGAUUUCUCCAGCAUCGUCAUUGUCAUGGGUGGAAAAACAACUCAGUGAAAUAUCUGGUGCUAAAGUUCAGGUAAAGAACUUAGAUCCCUUGGUGCACCGUGCCAUUGCUGCAGCUCUUGCUAUUCCAGAUCUUCAAGGCUAUUGCUGUAGCUUCAUGCAUUCGUGACUCAUGGCCUGUUCUUAUAAUGGCGCCAUCUUCAUUGCGUUUACAAUGGGCUUCUAUCAUUCAACAAUGGCUGGACAUUCCUCCAUUUGAUAUUCUUGUUGUUUUGUCUCAAUGUGGGGGACCAAACAGAGGAGGAUUCACAAUAAUGUCCUCAAACUCCUAAGGAAUCAUUCAUCUUGAUGGCCUAUUUAAUAUCAUCUCGUAUGAUGUGGUGUCCCUAAAUUGCAGAAUUUACUAAUGGCAUUAGACUUUAAGGUUGUGAUUGCAGAUGAGUUGCACUUUUUGAAAAAUGCUCAAGCAAAGAGAACGACUGCUUUUGUUCCAGUUAUAAAGGUAUUUCUUUCUUGAUCAAUGAUGGUAACGUAGUACCAGCAUCCAGACAUGUUUUUGUACUGAUUCUCCUUUGUACUGAAUUGCGAGCCCAAUCACAUUAAUCUACUACCAUUCCUUUUCAGCCAUAGAUUCAUGCUGAAUCUCAAAUAAAUAGAACAGGUAAAUAAAGUACACAUGAAUACUAAAUUUGUUUUCAUUGCUGUUCCAUAGUUAAAUAAAUGAUGCACAAAUUCAUCCUUUUAAUAGUUUAAAACUAUAUGAUUAAAAGGCCAGAAAAAAGAAAGUUGACUUGUAAACCUAGUCAUUACAUUUCAUAUUUUGUUUGUUUCACUUUGAAUGGUCAUUUUUGGUCCACAAUGCAAUAGAAUAAAUUUUUAGUGGGACAGCUGCAUAUUUUGAUCCUCUCUCUUGACAUCUUCAUCUCCUCGAUAGUAGACUUUCAGAAAGCUCAAUAUGCAAGAUAACUUAUUGGAACUCCUGCUUUGUCUUGGCCAAUUGAAUUAUUCAAGCAGGUAUUUCUGGUGGCUCAUUUAGGAUACAUAUGAUGUCAAUGGUGUUUGGUAUUUUAAUAAUCCUUUGUGAGUUUGUGCAAACUUUUGCAGUUGGAAGCCUUGUAUCCUGAUGUAUUUACAAGUGUCCAUGAAUGUGGUAAUCGAUAUUGCAAGGGUGUCUGAAGCAUUUAAUUUAAAACUAUUCCUUUCACUUAUAAAUUUUGUCGCUGCUAUUGAUCUUUCAGGGAGUAUUUGGAAUCUAUCUAGGUGCAAGUAACCAUGAAGAAUUGCAUAAUUUGAUGAAAGCAACAUUGAUGAUUCGCAGACUUAAAAAAGAUGUUCUUUCUGAGUUUCCUACGAAGCGUAGGCAAUAGAUUUCAGGAAUUUAAGGAGCAAGGUCAAGUUUAAUCAAUGGAGCACAUGUUUAAAAUUAAUGCAAUGAAGAGUUCAACGCAAGAUUUGUCUCCUCCACUAACAAAACGAUUGUUUUAAGUAUGUACUAAUGACAAUUAUAUGCAUGUAAAGACAAAUAUUGUUUUAUAAAUAUUUAAAGCCUUGGUGUUUUAAGAAUUUGCUAAUUUGCUUUAUAUAUUGUAUACUUUUGCACCUUUACUAUUAAUUAAUUUAGAAAAUAACUAAAAUAAUUGCAUUGGUUCCUGAAAAUCCAUCCUUAUUGAUUGCUAAACAUAAAGCAUUCAGAGACUAGAGCUUGGUUGUUGAAUAUAGAGCAUUGGUGACCAAUUUUUGGUGAUUAAAAUUAUUUUUGAAUAUGUGAAGGACCAAAAGUGACUACUGUGUUAGUUGCUG